Molecule: unclassified non-coding RNA, 2579 nt
Filed under: Hevea brasiliensis (rubber tree)
Lineage: Eukaryota; Viridiplantae; Streptophyta; Magnoliopsida; Malpighiales; Euphorbiaceae
Source: RNAcentral
AUACAUCUCCAGAGAACUCCCUCCCAACCAAAUCAAGCAAAAAAGAGAGGGAAGCAGGAGAUGUAUUUGCCAUUGAGCGUGCAGCUUUACUUUACAAUAUUUGCUGGUUUUCUUUGAAAGGCUACCAUUCCAAAGGCGGCAGGAACAUUUUCUGCGAUCUAUCCCAUGAUCAGUUGCCAAAAAUAGUUUCUUGCUUGAUGCUAGCCUUUGUACUCUGCCGUGAAGUUCCUGUACUUUUUCAGAAGGUUUCCAGAUUGCUGUCUGGUAUUUAUAUUCUUUCUUCCUCAAGUGAAAUCUUUCCUAUGCCAUCUUCUAGCAAAGUGCUCUCUGAGGGUCACUGGGCUUCAUAUUUUCAUCAAGCUUCACUUGGUACUCAUCUUACUUACCAGUUCUUUUCAAGUAUCACCGGGAAACGUAAAGCCGGAAACCUUGUAGAUGAUCAGGGCUCACAAGUAACUAGCUUAACAUGCAACUUGACAAGGCUUGCACCCAAGUCUGUUCAAGAUCUGGAACAAUUUGUGAUAGAGUUUUUCUCGAGGCUUCCUUGCACCACGGUCAUUUGCAUAAGUUUGAUAUGGGGUCCUUAUGCAACUCUAUUACAAGAACUACUAAUGUAUCCUUCAAGUGUUUGUGCCUGGAUGCUGUUGUCACGCUUGAAUUUCAAGAGCCAGCCUAUUGUGAUGCUUCUGCCAGUGAAUUCAAUUUCUGAAGAAGCUUCAGAUGAUGAUGCAGCAAAGUCUGGCUAUGGAGAAUUUGCAGAGAACAAUGACAUUGGUAAACAUUGGCAUUGUCCCUGGGGUUUCACUGUUGUUGAUGAAGUUGCUCCUGCAUUUAAACUUAUAUUGGAAGAAAACUAUUUAUCUUCAUCAAUCUUUCCUUUAGAGGACACAAAAGAGAAUAGAAAUUCAUGGUGGAUGAGGAGAAAGAAGUUGGAUUGGCAACUUGGUAAAUUGCUGAGGAAAUUAGAAGAUUUGUGGUUGGGUCCCUGGAGGUAUGUGCUUCUAGGAGAAUUGUCUAACUGCAAGCACCUAGGCUCUGUACAGAAGAAGCUGAUGCAUAAUCUGAGAUCUAAAUGCAAAGUGGAUGUAAAUGAAAGUUUUCUCAAGGUUAUUCUUGGAGGAGGAAAGUAUGCUUUAGAUGGAGGAGACUUUGUUGCUGACUUAGUAUCUCUGGAAAAGGGUUGCUUCAUUGGGAGAGCUCUAUAUUCUGAUGAAACAUGCCGGACACUGUCUAACGAAUUUGAGGGAAUUCAAGAGCUACUUCAUGAUGCAGUGAAUGAACUUGAAGUGGACUCUUUAAAUAGAGAACCUGUAAUUUUGGUGCUGGAUUGUGACGUGCAGAUGCUUCCAUGGGAGAAUUUACCUGUUCUCAGAAGCCAAGAGGUCUAUCGAAUGCCUUCUGUUGGCAGCAUCUGUCUGACACUUGAUAGAAGCUGCAACUGUCAAGAGCAAGUUGGGAGGAUAGUUUCUGCCUUCCCUCAUAUAGAUCCCUUAGAUGCAUUCUACUUGUUGAAUCCUAGUGGCGAUCUAAGCAGCACACAAGUUGAGUUUGAGAACUGGUUUAGAGUUCAAAACUUGGAGGGGAAAGCUGGAUCUGCUCCCACUGCAGUAGAAUUGACUUCAGCCUUAAAAAGCCACGACCUCUUCUUAUAUUUUGGCCAUGGAAGCGGUAUGCUUGAUCGGCUGUGUAUAUCACAAUAAUUUUAUUUCAGUUCUUACUAUUUUUUUUUUUUUUUAUCCUGCACUCAUUAUGAACUUCCCUUGCGUUGGUGCACAUCUGAUGGAACAGGAGCACAAUACAUUUCCCAGCAAGAGAUUCAAAAACUGGAAAAUUGUGCUGCUACACUUCUGAUGGGAUGCAGUAGUGGUGCUUUGUCAUUACAUGGGUGUUACACCCCACAAGGUACUCCUUUAUCCUAUCUUCUGGCUGGAUCCCCCAUCAUUGUUGCAAAUCUUUGGGAAGUCACAGAUAAGGAUAUCGAUCGGUUUGGGAAGGCUAUGCUUGAUGGCUGGUUAAAGGAAAGAUCUAGUGCUUCCACAGAUUGUGACCAAUGCAAUUUACUAUUGAAAGAAUUUGAGGCAUUGAACUUGAAAGAUCCCAAAGUUACUAACAAAAGGAAAGUCCAAAAGAAGAAAGAACCUGAAACUUGUGAUAGUGAUUCUUUGAAGAAUUCUUGUAACCAUAGACCAAGGAUUGGAUCAUUCAUGAGUCGAGCUCGUGAAGCUUGCACCCUCCCUUUUCUUAUUGGAGCAUCUCCAGUCUGUUACGGUGUCCCUACAGGCAUAUGGAGGAAGAAGGAUUUGUAGCAAUAUCAGCCAGUCAUUUUCUUUUACCAAAUUGGCGUGUCCUUGGAUUUUAAAGGUAACCUGGAGGGCUAGAAGCCAAGACCUAAUAUCACAAGUUAAAAAUCAACAACAGAACUGUGCCAAAUGAUUCAGCUGACGUCCACUUAUAAUUUCAUAUACUUGAUUCUCCCUUUCUUUUUCCCCUUGAAGUGAUGCGCUCAGCCUAAAAAUUCUAACAUGUGUGAAUUUUCAAUAUUCCUGUCAUUCCUUCUGUAGUAUGAAUAUGAUUUUUUU